GACGAACGCUGGCGGCGUGCUUAACACAUGCAAGUCGAACGGUGAAGGGACCGGUUUUUGCUGGUUCUGGAUGAGUGGCGCACGGGUGAGUAACACGUGAGUAACCUGCCCCCUUCUUCUGGAUAACCGCAUGAAAGUGUGGCUAAUACGGGAUAUUCUGCGCCUGCUGCAUGGUGGGUGUGGGAAAGAUAUUGUUUCGGUGGGGGAUGGGCUCGCGGCCUAUCAGCUUGUUGGUGGGGUGAUGGCCUACCAAGGCGGUGACGGGUAGCCGGCCUGAGAGGGUGGACGGUCACACUGGGACUGAGACACGGCCCAGACUCCUACGGGAGGCAGCAGUGGGGAAUAGUGCACAAUGGGCGCAAGCCUGAUGCAGCGACGCCGCGUGAGGGAUGGAGGCCUUCGGGUUGUAAACCUCUUUCGCCAGUGAAGCAGGCCUGUCCCUUUUGUGGGUGGGUUGACGGUAGCUGGAUAAGAAGCGCCGGCUAACUACGUG
Molecule: ribosomal RNA, 493 nt
Filed under: uncultured bacterium
Lineage: Bacteria
Description: partial 16S ribosomal RNA
Rfam family: Bacterial small subunit ribosomal RNA
Source: RNAcentral